This 253-nucleotide ribosomal RNA is filed under the name uncultured bacterium. Its description in RNAcentral is "partial 16S ribosomal RNA". It matches the Rfam family "Bacterial small subunit ribosomal RNA", at positions 524 to 776 of the family's 1533-position model. The record is from RNAcentral.
UACGUAGGGGGCAAGCGUUGUCCGGAUUUAUUGGGCGUAAAGAGCUCGUAGGCGGCUAUUCGCGUCGGAUGUGAAAGCUCAAGGCUCAACCUUGAGAGGCCAUUCGAUACGGGAUAGCUAGAGGUAGGUAGGGGAGAUCGGAAUUCCCGGUGUAGCGGUGAAAUGCGCAGAUAUCGGGAGGAACACCAAUGGCGAAGGCAGCUCGCUGGGACGGUACUGACGCUGAGACGCGAAAGCGUGGGGAGCAAACAGG